Molecule: non-coding RNA, 29 nt
Filed under: Mus musculus (house mouse)
Lineage: Eukaryota; Metazoa; Chordata; Mammalia; Rodentia; Muridae
Source: RNAcentral
UAGAAAUGAAGCCUUCAGAUAGAUGGAUG